ACCAGUUUCAUUAAGGAUAGAUUCUAUACAUUUCAUCCAAUAAAGUUUAACAUUAUUUCCAUGAGAUAAACUAAACAUUAAUUUGUAUGCAAUUGCUGAUAAUUUACUGGGUUUGCUAAAAAUCAAUUUCGCCCAGUAUGAAAUCAUGCGAACCUUGAUAUCUAAACUAAUAGGAUAACGUCCUAAUUCUCCAUAUAUAUAACACAAUUCGGGGUAGAAGAUUUAAGAUGGAGUAGAAGUUUACAAAAUUUCAAAUGAACCCUUUCUAAAAUAUCAUUAUUUCCAAAUCCCCAAAUUUCAC
RNAcentral lists this long non-coding RNA (301 nucleotides) under Mytilus galloprovincialis (Mediterranean mussel). The record is from RNAcentral. Lineage: Eukaryota; Metazoa; Mollusca; Bivalvia; Mytilida; Mytilidae.